GUGAAUCAUCGAAUUUUUGAACGCAAAUUGCACUCCCUGGUAUUCCGGAGAGUAUGCCUGUUUGAGGGUCAGUUUAAAUAAAAAUCGGUGUGGUUGCUGACUUGCGUGGUUACGCACCGGUUGUGGGUCUUCUCUCCUUCGGUUAAGUGACCUAAAAUUUUGCCUGAUUUUUUCUUAUGUAUUUAACUGAUUUUAUGUAUGUUUUC
This 206-nucleotide unclassified non-coding RNA is filed under the name Glomeraceae sp. Its description in RNAcentral is "partial contains 5.8S ribosomal RNA and internal transcribed spacer 2". The stretch from base 1 to 71 matches the Rfam family "5.8S ribosomal RNA", at positions 84 to 154 of the family's 154-position model. Lineage: Eukaryota; Fungi; Glomeromycota; Glomeromycetes; Glomerales; Glomeraceae. The record is from RNAcentral.